This 220-nucleotide ribosomal RNA is filed under the name uncultured bacterium. Its description in RNAcentral is "partial 16S ribosomal RNA". It matches the Rfam family "Bacterial small subunit ribosomal RNA", at positions 524 to 740 of the family's 1533-position model. The record is from RNAcentral.
UACGGGGGGAGCAAGCGUUGUUCGGAUUUACUGGGCGUAAAGGGCUCGUAGGCGGCCAACUAAGUCAUACGUGAAAUCCCUCGGCUUAACCGGGGAACUGCGUCUGAUACUGGAUGGCUUGAGAUUGGGAGAGGGAUGCGGAAUUCCGUGGUGUAGCGGUGAAAUGCGCAGAUAUCAGGAGGAACACCAGUGGCGAAGGCGGCUAUCGUCGGACGAACAC